This 899-nucleotide unclassified non-coding RNA is filed under the name Zea mays. RNAcentral describes it as "misc RNA Zm00001eb082580". The record is from RNAcentral. Lineage: Eukaryota; Viridiplantae; Streptophyta; Magnoliopsida; Poales; Poaceae.
GGCCUCCUCCUCCAACAGUGCCAAGCCCCGGCGUCGUCCCCUCCCAGCCAUGACGGCCAUCCCGUCCUGCCUGGCUGCACGCCGCCGUCGUGGUGCCCACCGCGCGCUCCCCUGCUCCGACCGAAUCCGCGCGCCGCCACCGUCGUGGCCACGCCCAGGACGCCCCGACCGGCUCUGUGUUGCCGCUGGCCCUCCCUCCUUGCUUCGGUGGCCGGUCGCUGCUCUCCCCGCCGCGACUCCCUUUCCCGACGCUGACUCGCGUCCCCUGCGCCCGCCAGCCAGCAGUGCUGCCCUACUUUCAACAUCCCUAGUCGUUGUCCGUACGCUGGCCUCCAGCGCCGCGCCACGUCCUCCUGUCGUCGCCCUUGCGAGCUCCACUGCUCCGUGCCUCCUCCUCGUUGAUUGUGUUGCUGCCCUCCUACUAGUGUUGCCUCCGUCCUCGCCAGUUCCAAGGCUUCACCCCCGCCAUACAUGAGCUUUGACUCGCCCGCCGCUCACGUGGCUCCUGGCUUUCCCUGACCCCCUCCUGGCUUCGCUCAUUUCCGUCGGGAUCGCUGUGCGCGCCGUGCUCCACGACGGCUAGCUUGCACGGGGCACCUUCGUGGCUUUUGAUCACGCCAUGAGCCCUAUCCUCCGUGACUGUGUCGAGCUUCACCCAUAUGCAGGCCACCACGUGCAUGGACCACUUGUCUUUCCCAGAGCUGUGAUUAACUCUCUGGCGAUCAAGACCUUGUUGUCUCCCUCCCCUACUAGUGAUUGUGUCACAGCCCCUCCUGUGGCUCUUUCCGCGCACUCUGUGGCUUCUCCACCCUCUCCCACCAAUUGUGUGAUCGACUCUAGAGCCUCCUUCCACACUACUCCUAUCACCAGCUCGUUAUUCCACUCCCACCCACCACACC